UCCGAAGGGGGCUAGCGUUGCUCGGAAUCACUGGGCGUAAAGCGCACGUAGGCGGAUUGUUAAGUCAGGGGUGAAAUCCUGGAGCUCAACUCCAGAACUGCCUUUGAUACUGGCGAUCUUGAGUCCGGGAGAGGUGAGUGGAACUGCGAGUGUAGAGGUGAAAUUCGUAGAUAUUCGCAAGAACACCAGUGGCGAAGGCGGCUCACUGGCCCGGUACUGACGCUGAGGUGCGAAAGCGUGGGGAGCAAACAGG
Molecule: ribosomal RNA, 253 nt
Filed under: uncultured bacterium
Lineage: Bacteria
Description: partial 16S ribosomal RNA
Rfam family: Bacterial small subunit ribosomal RNA
Source: RNAcentral